AGUUUCAAAGUACAUUCAAUUUUUUACAUGUGCGUUCGUCUCACCGAAAUUGGAGAGGGAUGAAGUGAAUUUCGAUCGUAAUCGUCCACUUUCGUUGGUUGUUUUACUGUAACUUUACCUUCGAUCGAAACUCAAACUCUCUAAAAUAAUGUAAUUGACUUUCACCUAUCCUAGAUUGAAGUCACUUACAAAACAAAUGAAAAAAAUAAAUAAAUUUUGUCAAAACUUUAAAUCGUCUGAAACUCUAUUUUAACCUGAACUAUAUUUGGGCCUAAAAUUUUUACUAAGGGCAUAUUUCGUUGGUCGAAACUGAAGCACUGAAAGCAGCACUUUCAGAAAGUAACGUACGGUUAUUUGGUUUGUGAAAGUGAAUGUAAAAAUCACUUUACAAAAGUGAAUUGCUAAAAUGAGUUAUAACUAAAUCUCAUUUUUUUAUAAGUUCAAAAUAUUUUGAAGUCAUCGAAAGUAGGGAGUUUAUUUAAAAUACUACGUUUGGUCUUAAAUUUAAUCUUUAAAU
This 517-nucleotide long non-coding RNA is filed under the name Ananas comosus (pineapple). RNAcentral's name for it is "long non-coding RNA (ACOM_LNC014558)". The record is from RNAcentral. Lineage: Eukaryota; Viridiplantae; Streptophyta; Magnoliopsida; Poales; Bromeliaceae.